CCAACAUUAUCAUAGUUCAGCCCUCUCUGCUUUGCUUGGGUACGCCCUCAAAGACGAGGGUGGGGAGCGCCGAGUCAGAAGAGAGCUAAAAUGGCGGAGGUUGGGAGUCCCUGCUUUGACUCUGUUUGCAAACUCUUGUUUCAUUGUUUAAGCGAUUAAAUCUCUCGAGUAGACGCUGUCUCUUUAGAUGCGAGGGCAAAAUAGCACUUUAUGGACUUACACAGAGGACAUCAUGUUUAAUACGGUUCCGGAAAAAUCCAGUCAGAAGUUGUUCACGGAGUUUUCACAAUAACUGCUUCUCAUGAACCGAAGCUGGACGUCUCCUUCUGAAAGUUGGAUUACUGUGCACUUCUGGAUCACAGGCUAUUCGCAGCUGGACACAUCCUUCUACACUGUAUGCAAACAUGCAACAUCAUUACACACAGUACAAGGAGUCAGACUGGCAUAUGAGGAGCAAAGGAACCCAGACAGUAGCAUCGUUUCACAAUGUUUCCAUCACCAUCAUCAGUGGAUGCCUUUGCCGUCCGUAGCCUGAGAUUUCAGAUUUGCAGCAAAAAAAAUUGAUUUUCUCAUUUAUUGGAAUGCUAUGCAGGUAUUUGUACCUUGCAGCCAUCCAUUACAAUGUCACCAAGCCGUAACAAAAGCAGGAGAGGGAAAGUACAAGGCUAUGUUCCCAAAACACACAAAUGACAUACCUUAUGUGGAUGGUGUGAUCAGGCUUGUGUUUGCUGAGGUAUUUGAAGAUAAGCUGAAGGAAACCCCGAUUCCAAUGGACCUGGCAUCACAGUUUGAGAGACCUUCAAAGGAGGACGUGAUUGCAUGCCAUCUUCAGUG
Long non-coding RNA from Paramisgurnus dabryanus, 834 nucleotides. RefSeq lists it as uncharacterized. The record is from RefSeq and is a predicted model, not a curated record. Lineage: Eukaryota; Metazoa; Chordata; Actinopteri; Cypriniformes; Cobitidae.